This 495-nucleotide unclassified non-coding RNA is filed under the name Dosinia exoleta. RNAcentral describes it as "sequence contains 5.8S rRNA gene, ITS2 and 28S rRNA gene". The stretch from base 1 to 125 matches the Rfam family "5.8S ribosomal RNA", at positions 30 to 154 of the family's 154-position model. The record is from RNAcentral. Lineage: Eukaryota; Metazoa; Mollusca; Bivalvia; Venerida; Veneridae.
GCGUCGAUGAAGAGCGCAGCCAGCUGCGUGAAUUAAUGUGAAUUGCAGGACACACUGAACAUCGACACCUUGAACGCACAUUGCGGCUCUGGCUCACUGCCAGAGCCACGCCUGUCCGAGGGUCGGCGAACAAGUCAUCGCCAGAGACCGACGCUCUCAGUGUCGGUCGAGGCGCGUUGGCGUGUCGCGCGGGCACAGUCCCGCUCGUCCGCCGUAGACUUCAGCCUCUCUCUUGGCUGCCAUUGAAGUGGCGCAGGGACAGGGCUCGAACGGGCCUUCUGUCUAGCGCACGUCCCUUAACAGGGGCGACCUUCUACGGCGACGCCACCUAGCUCGUCGACUUCGGUCGACGGGAGAGAGAGCGCGGUUUAUUGCCGCGGAAGGAAACCUCCCCGAUCGGUGUUCGCAUCGUCGGCAGUUUCUCGCAUCCGACCUCGGAUCAGACGGGGAUACCCGCUGAUUUUAAGCAUAUCAGUAAGCGGAGGAAAAAAAACU